CCGACGGCGCUAUCAUGCAGUCGAGCGGACAGAUGGGAGCUUGCUCCCUGAAGUCAGCGGCGGACGGGUGAGUAACACGUGGGCAACCUGCCUGUAAGACUGGGAUAACUUCGGGAAACCGGAGCUAAUACCGGAUAACACCGAGGACCUCAUGGUCCUUGGUUGAAAGAUGGCUUCGGCUAUCACUUACAGAUGGGCCCGCGGCGCAUUAGCUAGUUGGUGAGGUAACGGCUCACCAAGGCGACGAUGCGUAGCCGACCUGAGAGGGUGAUCGGCCACACUGGGACUGAGACACGGCCCAGACUCCUACGGGAGGCAGCAGUAGGGAAUCUUCCGCAAUGGACGAAAGUCUGACGGAGCAACGCCGCGUGAGCGAUGAAGGCCUUCGGGUCGUAAAGCUCUGUUGUUAGGGAAGAACAAGUACCGUUCGAAUAGGGCGGUACCUUGACGGUACCUAACCAGAAAGCCACGGCUAACUACGUGCCAGCAGCCGCGGUAAUACGUAGGUGGCAAGCGUUGUCCGGAAUUAUUGGGCGUAAAGCGCGCGCAGGCGGUUCCUUAAGUCUGAUGUGAAAGCCCACGGCUCAACCGUGGAGGGUCAUUGGAAACUGGGGAACUUGAGUGCAGAAGAGGAAAGCGGAAUUCCACGUGUAGCGGUGAAAUGCGUAGAGAUGUGGAGGAACACCAGUGGCGAAAGGCGGCUUUCUGGUCUGUAACUGACGCUGAGGCGCGAAAGCGUGGGGAGCAAACAGGAUUAGAUACCCUGGUAGUCCACGCCGUAAACGAUGAGUGCUAAGGUGGUUAGGGGGUUUCCGCCCCCUUAGUGCUG
RNAcentral lists this ribosomal RNA (829 nucleotides) under Bacillus songklensis. RNAcentral describes it as "bacterial SSU rRNA". It matches the Rfam family "Bacterial small subunit ribosomal RNA", at positions 36 to 848 of the family's 1533-position model. Lineage: Bacteria; Bacillati; Bacillota; Bacilli; Caryophanales; Bacillaceae. The record is from RNAcentral.